CCAUAGCCAUAGGGUAUAAUUUUUUGCAGGAUGAGGUGACGGUCCCCAUUAUAUCAGGUAAUGGUGGGUUAUGUGAGAAGAUUGGUCAAUUCAUUGACCAUCAUCUAAAAAUGCUUGUUAACACUUUACCAUCCUUCAUACAGGACACAACGGCAGCGCUAAAUAGACUAAAUAACAUGCAAGUUGAAGAUAACAUGAUUCUGGUCACAGCUGAUGUUGAAGCGCUAUAUUCGAACAUUAAGCACGAAGAUGGUCUAAAAGCAGUGGCUGAAUACCUUAAAGAUGGGCAAGGAGGUCACAUUUCUAGACCUAAAGAUACAAAUAAAAGAGAAUGGGACAUUAGAAACUGACGUCCAUAGGAAAGAAACUGCGGUUAAUACGCUACUGCAUGCCGAAUCAUCCCAUCCAAAAUCCACCAUAGAUGGAAUACCUAUUGGACAAUUCGCAAGGAUAAAGAGGAUUUGCUCUAAUGAAAAACUUACGUGGAGGUGUUGAGUGAUCGAUGGCUGGAUUCCUGUGUCCGAAACUGCACAUUGAAACCUGUGGAGGAAAAAAUAAGAAGGAGAAAAGAAGAAUUAAAUAUCUAAUGAGUAUAUCCAUCUGUAAAGGACAUUCUAGUACAACAUAUGGAAUUAUUACUAUACCGGCUAAACUGGAUAUGAAAGUAAUGUGUGAGGGUUGAUAUUCAAUUCAGCUCUGUCAAGCAUACACUAUGUAUAUGUGUGAGUAUAGAUUAAUAGGGGUUUGGAUGGUGAUAAUGCCCUGAGAGGCAUCUGUCACAUAUAUAGAGGGUGCACAGAUAAAUAGACACUAGUUUAUAUUUAGAGAGGAUGUUAACUACCCAUUUAUAUUAUAGAGGGUGCACAGAUAAAUAGGCACCAGUCUACAGUAAGGGAGGAUGUAUUCACCCACUCGCUUUAGUGGGAAUAGGUUUGAAUCAUGGGAUUGAUAGCAUUUAGGUAGAAUUAUUAAUUUCACUUUAGAUAUUGAUAGUAAGACAUAUGCACGGCACUUUAAUGUUUGCGAUAAUGAAAUGGGCAUGAAUAUAUGAGAUUUUAUACUUAUUUAUAUUUAUAUUAAUGACAGAUAAUACGCACUUUAUUUUAUCUAUGCACUAGACACUUUGAUAAAUGGACUUGACGUCAUGUAUAUGGACAUGUUAACAUAUACGUGAGAUAAGAUAUUGAAUGGACUUGAGAUAAGUAUCUUACACCUUUAUGGAUGGUUUUGGCAUGAUAUAUGUGGAUGUGCCAAUGUAUACAUGGGAUGUGAUACUGAUUGGAUUAAUGCAGAGAUAUAGACAUGCCAUAUAUUGGCAGGUAUAUAUGUGUGCAUUUUGUGUGUACAUAUGUAUAUCUUGCGCUCACCAUAUGAUGGCAUGUGUGCACUUAGUGCAGAUCCAUAUAUAUCUUGCUCGUAUCCAAUUGAAUAGUAGAUACUAUAUUGUUAACAAUAUUGACCCCACAUUUAUGUCCCUCCACCUGGUUAUGUAUUUAUGAUUUUUUCCAGCAUAGAUUGAUGUAUAGACAAAUAUAAUGCAUAGAUAAAUAUGGCAUCUGUGUAAUGUAGAUACUUUUGAAUGAUAUGGAAGCGAGUUUCGGCACUGUAAUAUUCAGUGGCGUUGCGGAUUGAUCUGCGUACAAUCUACAAUUUGAUAUGUUGGAGAGACGGAAGAUCAAUACCAGUAAUAGACACAUAGACAAGAAAAUACCUACACAUACAUUGCUAUGAAGAUGGAUAACCUGAUGAUUCCUGUACGCAUCGCGGAUGGGAGGACUUUCGCCGUCCCGACGGGCGUGAUCGGGGUGACGUCAGACGCAUUCUGCCCUCACUUGGAUCGCGCUGAUGGGAGGGCGGAAGUCCCUUAUACACCCAUAUCUGACGAUUGCGGGAUGCGCCGCUAUAGGAAUCACUAGCAAUAGGAUCACAUGACACAGGGAUUGCCAGCUAUUGGCCACUAACCACUUAAAAAGACCUCUUAAGCCAUUAGAAAGGAAAUCCUCCUGAUGAAGCAUUAGCGAAACGUACGUCGAGGAGUACGCCAGAUAGAGACAGCCCACAUACACGCCACUGGAUAUCGGGUAAGUGAGAAGCUUAGAUCGGUCCGAUACAUUCAUUAUGGCAGCUUUAUGUUGUACUGAAUUGUUUGGAUGGUAUGGAUCAAAAUAUAUGGAUGCCAUCUAUACCCGAUAUUUAUUCAUGCUAGAUUCACCUUACAGAUGAGGUAGUUGUGUUUUCAUGGCUAGAUACAGCUUUGAUAAUUAUAUGCUGAUCUAGACCCCUCAUUCACAACGCCCUCACUGUGAUUGAGGGAAUCAAGCGAUUGAAUAUCUGCUGGUAGUGGAAUUAUUGUGGACUGCCCCUUGAGGCACGCU
This is a long non-coding RNA of Bufo gargarizans (Asiatic toad), 2375 nucleotides long. RefSeq lists it as uncharacterized. The record is from RefSeq and is a predicted model, not a curated record. NCBI's taxonomy places the organism in Eukaryota, Metazoa, Chordata, Amphibia, Anura, Bufonidae. The transcript is spliced from 3 exons.